AGUGCAUUGAAAAGAAACAUGAAGAUGAUGAUGAUGAUGACGAUGAUAGUGACUAUGAUUAUUUGUAAUCUAGCUUUGAUGCAUGUGUCCUAGCUUUGAUACUUGGUCUUGAAUCCAUUGUACUAAAAUUAAAGAAGGAUUCUAGAUGUUUUCAAAUUGUGUUUUACAAAAUUUCUUAUGAUGAGUACUUAAUGAGUAAAUAAUAGAUACUAUUCUAUUGAAAUGUUGGAUUUUCUUUAAUAGGACUAGUAAUGGUUUUUCAUCAGCCUUUAUGUGAGUAAAUAAAGUUGUUGCUCAUUAAAAAAAAAUAAUUAGCAGGCUCAUGAGUGCCUUCCAGCAUACUCAUGGGUUGUAUAACUGCCAAGUCCAAUUAUGUUUAUUUUAAACUUCUUUUUUGCCAGUUGUGAUUGCAAUUAUAUAAUCUAUCUAUCAUAUUGAAAAGUUUGAUUUUUCUAUCAAGAUUAAGUACUUUGGAAAGACUUGCUGAAAUUAAGGUACUAAAAAUUGCUGUCAAAUAAGGUGUGGAUAAAAUACCUGUACAAGAUUGGAAAAUGCCUUAGUUUGGGUCCACCACCACCAAAAGCAUUGCCUGAGGCAAAAGCUUAUAGGCUGUUUCCUUGGUGAGGAAUGAAGUGUCAGAGAGCAAGAAUGAGGAGCUUCCAGGGUGAAACAGAUCCAGAAGGAAAGCCAGUGUGAGGGUGUGAUAUCAGGUCUGUCACCAGUAAGUGCAACUAAAUGCUUAAUCUCAUGGACAAAUCUCUGAGAAAUCAUUAAAAACUGUCCCGGAGCAGUAUGAGUGGGAUGCAAGGUUGGGGAGAAAGGGUGAAGAACUCACCUUCCAGUUCUUACCUGUCACUCCUUAAAGGCUGACUUCUAGAAUGUCUCUCCAUAAUUUCCAGAUUGCACAGGGAGAAUUCACCUUAACAUCAAUAGGCAGGUGUUGGGGACCGCAAAUCAAGUCAAGAUGGCGCCUGGCAGUUUGCCAGGAGGAAUGGUUUGUGAGGCAAUGCCACCAAGCCAUUAAGAUGGUGGAGAUUCCUUAUUGGCUGACUGCUGUAUCUAGAUGAUGCUAAUUGAGUCAAGCUGUGUGUAAUCAGUUAGGUAUAUAUACCUAUGCUGUUCCGCAAUAAAGCGGCUCCCGCUACCUUGAGUUCCCUCUGAGUUUCCCCGCAAUAAAGCAGUUGCCGCUUCAACCUUCAAGUUGCUUGUCACCUCCCGGUUAUUGUGCCCAGCCGGACUGCGGCAGGCAGGACGAGAUAGGGACACAGGGCAGGUGGUGCCAGCAUGACGUUUUUCAGAGUCCACACAGAACAGUCUUGGUAGCUGUGACCAGAACAAGAGAGGAGUGAGGUCAAGAGAAUCCGAAUUAGCACAGGCUAUCUGGCAAAAGGAAUGAGUAACCGAAAAAAUUUGGAAGGAUUCUGGGCCCAAAUUUUUUCAGAUGUAUCUUUUAAAAUGCCAAUUCUAGGGGCUAGGAAUGUAGCUCAAUAUAAGAAUGCUUGCUUAGGACCGAGAUUCAUUCCCCAGCAAAGAAAAAAAAAUUUUGAGAAAUAUUUACCACUAAGUGCAGUUUAUGCCAGAAUGAUGGCAGAAAACACUGAUCAGCAAACGAACCAAAAGCAAAGACCUUGAUCUUAUAAUGAAGAUACUUAAGUAAAAAGACUCAUAUUUUAAAUUGGCAUAGAAUGUUUUUAGGUUGUAUAUAUCUUUACAUAAUCCCUUUUUAACUAAGAUGUUAUGUGUACACAUGGAUUUGAACCCAGGGCCUCAUGCAUGCUCAACACAUGUUCUACCACCAAGCUACUCCAGCCCCUUAACUGACUUUUUAAAACUAACUGACCUACCAACUAACCUACCUUCCUUAAUAAUGUCAGAUAAUAGAGUUUCUUUAUUCUUUAUAAAAGAUUAAUCUUUAUGGCUCUUUCAUUACACCUUUAUCUAUAUUUCACAUACCAAAAAAUCAACCCUAUCAAAGUAUAUACUUCAUAAAGGUGUACAACAUCACCACCACUACUUAAUUCCAUAAUAUUUUUAUCCCCCCAAAAAGAGACCCUGUAUACAUUAGCAGUCACUCCCAUAUCCUCCUCCCCUAAGCCCUGGCAAUCACUUAUCAACUUUCUGACUCUAUGGAUUCGCCUAAAAUAUCUACCUUUUAGCUGUUAUCAAUAAUGCUGUGUAAACAUUUGUGUAUAAGUUUUUGUCUAGACAUAUCUUUUCAGUUCUUCUAGGUAAAUCCUUAGGAGUAGAAUACAGGGUCAGAUGGUAAUUCUGCUUAACUUUUUGAGGAACUUCCAAACUGUUUUUCAUAGCAGCUAUACCUUUUUAUAUUCCUACCACAAUGUACAAGAGUUCCAGUUUCUCAAAAUUCUGGCCAGAUGCUGUGAUUUAAAACUAUCUCCCAGUGGCCCAUGUGUUAAAGACUUGAUCAUCAGCCUGUGGUGGAACCUUUAAUAGGGCUGGGUAGAAGAAAGUUAGGUCUUAUGGAUGUGUCGUUGAAGGGGAUCUUGGGAACCUAGGGAUUCCCCUCUCCCUUUCUCUCAAAUUCUCUCAAGUUCAACACACACACACACACACACACACACACAUCAUACACCCCACUUCCUGGUCUCCAUAAGGUUGGCUGUGUAGUUCCAUAACACCCUGCCAUGGUAUUCUAUUUAUUUAUUUCUUUGUUGGUUCUUUUUAGUUGUACAUGACAGUAUAAUGCAAUUUGACAUAAUUACACAAGCAUGGAAUAUAUCUUAUUCUAGUUAGAAUCCAUUCUUGUGGAAUUCACUAUGAUGUUUUCAUAUAUGUACAUAAGAAAAUUAUGUCAGAUUCCUUUUCUUGUCUCCCCUCCCUUUCCUCUAUUCCCCAUUAUCUAAUCUACUAAACUUCUCCCCCUGCCCCGCCCCCACUUAAGUGGGUUAGCCUUCACAUAUCAGAGAAAACAUUCAACCUUUGGCAUUAUGGGAUUGGCUUAUUGAUUUAGCAUGACACAGGCCCAGAAGCAAUGGAACCAAUUGACCAUGAACUGAAACAUCUGAAACCAUGAGCCAAAAUUAACCUUUUUUCUUUCUUUUUUUUUUUCAUAUUUAUUUGUUAUUUGUAGAUGGACACAAUACCUUUUUUUUUUCAUUUUUAUGUGGUACUUAGGAUCCAAACCAGGGCCUUGCAUGUGCUAGGCGAGCACUCUACCACUGAGCCACAACCCCAGCCCAAACCUUUUUUCUUUUUAAGUGUUUUAUCUUAGAUAUUUUGUCACAGAUACAGCUGCUUUAUUUCAUUUUAUUUUAUUGUAGCUAACCUGGUUGGUGUGAAGUGAUCUUUCGUGGUUUUGAUUUGUAUUUCCCUAAUGACUAUUGGUAUUGAACAUUUUUUUAUGUGCUCCUUGGUCAUUUGUAUAUCUUCUUUGAAGAAAUAUCUACUCAAAUUCAUGGCCAAUUUUUAUUGGGAUUUUCUUUUAUUGUUGAUUUAUGAAUUCUUUAUAUAAUUCUGGAUACAAAUCCCUUAUUGGAUAUGUGAUUUGCAAAUGUUUUAUCAUUCUGUGUGUAUGUGUGUGUUUCUUGAAGCACAAAAGGUUUACAUUUGCUGAAGUCCAAUUUUAUCUUCUUUUGAUGGUGCUCUUAGUGUCACAUCUAAGAAAUCAUUGCCUAAUAUAAGUUCUCAGAGAUUUACUCCUAUGUUUUCUUCUAAGAGUUUUCAGAUAGCUCAUAUAUUACAUUGAUUAUUUUAAUCUACAACUUGGAAUGAAUGGAAUUUAGUAUUAACAUUAUUUACUUUCUUACUUCCUCCUCCUAUUAUCUAGGAAACAAAGGGCACUUUCAUUCUAAGUUCAUUCACAAAUAUGAGACUGGUUACUGCCCCAUGAGGGGUGAGCAAGAGAGCUAUGAGGAUAUUCCUGGGAGCCCACUUUGAAGUAGGAGUGGUGAUAGAAACAAGCCCUAGCCAUUAGCUUCAUGUGGAGCUGGAAGAACAAAAUUUCAGCCAUUCCUUAAGAGGAAGUGUGAGAGACACACAAAAGUACUGCCAAUUUGCAAGUCCAGGCACUGAAUGGAUCUAUCUAUUCCAAGUUCUAAAGUGUGUUUCCCAGAGUUCAAGUGGAUAUGGUUUUCAUAUGCUUCUACAGUGAGUAAAUACACAUUUCAUAGUCCAGUGAAAUAAUACCUGUUAUUUUAUAAAUGUUGACACUAAUAGGUGGCAGUGAAAUAAUGACUGUAUUAUAAGUUUGCAUGAGUUUCUUUCUAAAAAUUUAUCUUGGAAUUCAUCAAUAUGCUGUGAUAAAUAUCUGUUACCCAUUUUGAACUUAAUAGACUACAUGGAAAUAUUUAAGAAUACUUUUGAGUCAUCUCAAAGUAUUAACUAUCAAAUUUAUUUAGGCAAUAACCUCUGUGGCUAUUUCAUGAGUUUGAUCACCAUACUCAUUAGGUAUUAGAUCUUCAAAGAACAGCAUUGUUAAUUAUAUUUUUAAUGAUAUAGGAAUAAGCUAUGAUUCAUUUUAGCUACUACUGAUACCUGCUAUUAGGCAAGGAGAUGCAACUAGGAAGUAAAAUUUCUAGUUGACUAUUGCAAUUAUAAACAGAUUGAUGGAGCAAAGCUAUUUUCAUAUAGGCCCAUAUUAAUCAAAAUUGUAUUGAAUAAGGGCUGGUGAUAUAGCUCAGUUGGUAGAGUGCCUGCCUUGCAUGCACAAGCCCUGAGUUCAAUCCCCAGCACCGCCAAAAAAAAAAAAAUUCUAUUGAGUAAGAAAUUCUAUAUUUAGGUGGGUUCAAAAGCAUAUAGUACCUGAUAGUUCUUCUUUUUUUAAAAAAAAAAAA
RNAcentral lists this long non-coding RNA (4793 nucleotides) under Marmota monax (woodchuck). The stretch from base 4626 to 4697 matches the Rfam family "tRNA". The record is from RNAcentral. Lineage: Eukaryota; Metazoa; Chordata; Mammalia; Rodentia; Sciuridae.